GGCUCUUUGCUCACAUAAAUAUAAAGAGUCGGGCCUGCCCAGUGAAUUUUUUAACGGCCGCGGUACUCUGACCGUGCAAAGGUAGCAUAAUCAUUUGCCUUAUAAUUGAAGGCUAGUAUGAAUGGUUUGACGAGAGCAAUACUGUCUCCUUUUUAUUUUCAAAAACUUAACUUUUAGGUGAAGAGGCCUAAAUUUUAUUGAAGGACAAGAAGACCCUGUCGAGCUUAAAAGACAUUAUAGGAGUCUAAUAUAUUUUUAAAUAAAUUUUCUAUUAGGCUUUUUAGUUGGGGCGACUAGGGAACAAAAAAAGCUUCUUUCUAAUAAAUAAACAAUCAUGUUUAGAUCCGAUAAUAGCGAUCAAAGAAAUUAGUUACCGCAGGGAUAACAGCAUAAUCUCUCUUAAGAGGCCUAAUCGAAAGAGGGGGUUGUGACCUCGAUGUUGGACUAGAAUAUCCUAAAGAUGCAGAAGUCUUUAAGGGUCGGUCUGUUCGACCGUUAAAAUUCU
RNAcentral lists this ribosomal RNA (505 nucleotides) under Semisulcospira libertina. RNAcentral's name for it is "partial 16S ribosomal RNA". It matches the Rfam family "Bacterial large subunit ribosomal RNA", at positions 1817 to 2597 of the family's 2925-position model. The record is from RNAcentral. Lineage: Eukaryota; Metazoa; Mollusca; Gastropoda; Semisulcospiridae. RNAcentral also lists the same sequence under 1 other name.